Molecule: long non-coding RNA, 418 nt
Organism: Salvia miltiorrhiza (redroot sage)
Lineage: Eukaryota; Viridiplantae; Streptophyta; Magnoliopsida; Lamiales; Lamiaceae
Exons: 2
Source: RefSeq, a predicted model, not a curated record
UCUUCUUCAGCAAUGAUAUGGUGUUGGUUGAUGAUGUAUUCAUGAAAUUCUUUUCCUUGUCCAUCUUACAGCAAGAUCACUCCCACUGUUAUACUGGAUGCCCCACAAGAUUCUCUGAUCUUGAAUGAGGAGAUUUUUGGUCCUUUACUUCCCAUUAUCACGUUGUAUAUUUCUCAACCCCAACUGGACUCAGCUUCAGGAGGUGCUCUUCACUCUGCCGUCGCGAGCAGAUUAACAUUUAUAUAGUUGAAGGACAAGAUACAAGAUUAUAGAGCUUAUAGAGAGGUGCUGGUUUUAGAAGGCAACGGAAGCCCUAGUUUUUUUUUUUUUUUUUAGUUGGGCUCAAAACAUUAUGUAUGAAUGUUUUGUGAUAUAUAUAAUAUAUGUUAUUGAUGGUUUUAUCAUUUUGUUGUUUUAA